Molecule: non-coding RNA, 1169 nt
Organism: Pygocentrus nattereri (red-bellied piranha)
Lineage: Eukaryota; Metazoa; Chordata; Actinopteri; Characiformes; Serrasalmidae
Source: the annotation of a RefSeq genome assembly
AUGAAGAGAAACCUCCUCAUCAUCCUCAUCAUCACAUCAGGUGUGUUUGGUGCUGAUGAAAUCAGACCAUCAAAAGAUCAGGAGACUGAUGUUUCUGGAAAAGAAGGAGAACCUGUUACACUGAAAUGCUCUUAUGACUCAAAUAGUCAAUAUGUUAUACUCUACUGGUACAGACAGUAUCCUAACAGAGCUCUACAGUAUCUACUGCUGAGAGGUGCUCGUCAGCGGAGUGACAGUAAUAUUGCCGACCACAGAUUUUCAUCAACUACAUCCAGCUCUUCCACUGAGCUCACUCUUAGAGAACCAAGACUGGCAGAUACAGCUCUCUACUACUGUGCUCUUAGAGAUGUUAGAGCCCAGUGAUACAAAGUCUCUGAGACGCUUUACAAAAACUCACACACCUUCUGUUUGCUUUGAACACAAAGAGAUCAAAGUAACAUCCAAACCACAAUAUAUUAUCUGUUUUUAUUCUCUCUCUGAAACCACCAAGGUUAAAUUUCUGAGGUAAAAAAAGUGAAAGCAUGUGUGGCAGACACAGGAUAUAGUUUCAGCUGCGCUGUCUGACAACAAACGCAGCAAGAAACUAACACAGUAAAUGUACACGGUGCCCAUCGUCAUGAAAUCCGUUCACAUGAAGUCACUGGAGACGCGCUUGAGAUUCAUAGAAAUACCAGCUGUAAAUGACUUCACAUCUCACUGUCCACUUAUAAUCAGAUAGAUGUUAAUACCCUGUGAACUGUGGGAUAAUGUUGAGUAUUCCAGUGAUUUAACUAUUAACAUCAGAGGCCAGUGAAGAAUAUGACACUGCUGUAAAAUUCAUUGACCACACCCUAACAGUGGAGUGAGGAGGAUCAUCAGUUAGCCAGUCUAUGAAGAUACAAACCACCUGACAGAAUUUUCUGUUCUAGACUGUGUGAUUUCGGCUCUAUUGGUCAGUACAUGUUCUCUGAACUAGAGUAUCAUGAUACUAUACUGUUCUAAGACAAACCAAUGUUACUGUUAAAAUACAGGUCAAUUUGAAACAAAACCUCAUGGAAAUGAUGUUAUAGCCUAAUUUAGUAACAUAGGGAAAAGAUUCCAAUUCAUCCAUGCUUCUAUUUUUAUUUAGGAACACAAAUCCACAAAUCUAUUCUCCUAGAAAGGUUAGAAAACAUGGUUGGAGUCACAGG